Molecule: ribosomal RNA, 288 nt
Filed under: uncultured bacterium
Lineage: Bacteria
Description: partial 16S ribosomal RNA
Rfam family: Bacterial small subunit ribosomal RNA
Source: RNAcentral
GACGAACGCUGGCGGCGUGCCUAACACAUGCAAGUCAACGAGAAAAGGGUAGCAAUAUCCUGAGUAAAGUGGCGCACGGGUGAGUAACACGUAGGUAAUCUGCCAUUAGGACGGGGACAACCACGCGAAAGCGUGGCUAAUACCCGAUGAAUCAGCGGCGCCGCAUGGCGUUGUUGUUAAAUACCGCAAGGUGCCUGGUGAUGAACCUGCGUCCCAUUAGGUAGUUGGGAGGUAACGGCUCACCAAGCCGACGAUGGGUAGCUGGUCUGAGAGGAUGAUCAGCCACAC